RNAcentral lists this long non-coding RNA (1543 nucleotides) under Ovis aries (sheep). RNAcentral's name for it is "lncRNA (ENSOARG00000026756.1)". The record is from RNAcentral. Lineage: Eukaryota; Metazoa; Chordata; Mammalia; Artiodactyla; Bovidae.
AUGUGCCAUAGUUUGCUGAUUCCUGCUUUUGGGGUUGAACGUUUGUUUUGCACAAUUUAGUCCUAUAUCAUGUUUUCCCUUAUGUUGUUUCAGGUAGAUUUGUCUGUCUCCUUGUUUGGAAUGUGAGAGAAGUUUAGUAUCUUGAGAGCAUGGUCUGUCACUUAACAGCUGUAUGAACUUGGGUAAGGCACAUCCCAUCAGGCUGUUACUUCCAUCCUGGUGCUGCUCAGCUUUGAUCCGGGAAAAUGAAAGGCCAGGCUGCUGGGUCCCCAGCUGCCAUCUUUUGCAGCAAGAGUGAGACUUCAUGAUCCCGCUGGCUCACGUACACUUCAUUUCCCAGUAAUUAAACAAGUGGAGAUCAAAGCCGACAAAUCUCCCCCAUCUCUCAGCGCGGUAGAUGAAAGUUCCAGAUUCCAGAGAGAGAAGGAGGGAGAGAUCCAACCGACCUAGGCUGUCGAGUGAGGCAGCUGAAGUCACCGUUUCCUGGCCAGGCAGUGGGUGGUCCAGGCCACUCCCCCAGCUGGUUAGCUGCAAGGGUGGGGCCUUCUGCCCAAUGUCACAUGGUAAGAAAUGCCAGCUGCCCCCUCAGCCGCAGACAUGGGUGGGAGGGUCCCCACAUGAGGGACUCUGGCUGUGUGAGGCUGCUCUGGACACUGUUGGGUGUCAGAGCAGGACUGAGAGGCUGAUGGCUUGGGUAGACUCUUGGCUGGCUUGUCAUCAGCUGUUCUGUUUGUUUUGAGAUGUAAUUCACAUCCCAUGAUAGUCACUGUUUUAAAGUGCACAAUUCAGUGGUAUUUAUUAUAGUCACAGAGUUUUGUGACCAUCACCUCUAUCUAAUUGCAGAACAUUUUCAUCACUCUCUGUAUUCAGGGACUUACUUCCCUGGCGAUCCAAUGGUUAAGAUUCUGAGUUUCCACUGCAGGGGGUGCAGGUUCGAUCUCUGAGAAACUAAGAUUCCCCCCAUGCCAUACAGUGCUGCCAAAAGUUGGGGGGAGAAAAGAAAUUCAGUACUCAAAGCUGUCACUUUCCAUUUCCCCUCCCCUAGCCCCAGGCAGUCACUGAUCUACAUUCUGUACCUAUAGAUUUGCCUUUUCUGAAUAUUUCAUAUAAAUAGGGUCAUUCAGUAUGUAGAUUUUUGUGUUUAUCUUCUUUUAUCUGGCAUAAUAAUUCAAGAUUCAUGCACAGCACAAAUCAGUUCUUCAUUUCUUUUUAUGUCUGAAUAACAUUUCAUUUUAAGGCUAUACCACAUUUUAUGGGCUUCCCUGAUAGCUCAGUUGGUAAAGAAUCCACCUGCAAUGUGGGAGACCUGGGUUUGAUCCUUGGGUUGGGAAGAUCCCCUGGAGGAGGGCAUGGCAACCCACUCCAGUAUUCUAGCCUAAAGAAUUUCAUGGACUGUAUAGUCCAUGGGGUCACAAAGAGUUGGGCACAACUCAGCAAAUUUCACUUCACUUCACCACAUUUUAUUUUUCCGUAUAUCAGUUGAUGGAUGUUUGUGUUUGUUUUUUUUUUGUUUGUUUUUACUUUUUGGCUAUUAUGAAUAAUA